RNAcentral lists this ribosomal RNA (439 nucleotides) under uncultured bacterium. RNAcentral describes it as "partial 16S ribosomal RNA". It matches the Rfam family "Bacterial small subunit ribosomal RNA", at positions 338 to 795 of the family's 1533-position model. The record is from RNAcentral.
CCUACGGGUGGCUGCAGUGGGGGAUAUUGCACAAUGGAGGAAACUCUGAUGCAGCGACGCCGCGUGAGGGAAGACGGUCUUCGGAUUGUAAACCUCUUUCUUUGGGGAAGAAAAUGACGGUACCCAAAGAGUAAGCUCCGGCUAACUACUUGCCAGCAGCCGCGGUAAUACGUAGGGAGCGAGCGUUGUCCGGAAUUACGGGCUGAAAGGGGAGCGUAGGCGGGCGAGGAAGUUGAAUGUUAAAUCUACCGGCUGAACUGGUAACUGCGUUCAACACUUGUUGGCUUGAGUGAAGUAGAGGCAGGCGGAAUUCCUAGUGUAGCGGUGAAAUGCGUAGAGAUUAGGAGGAACACCAGUGGCGAAGGCGGCCCGCUGGACAUAAACUGACGCUGAGGCUCGAAAGCGUGGGGAGCAAACAGGAUUAGAUACCCGAGUAGUC